This 740-nucleotide ribosomal RNA is filed under the name uncultured bacterium. Its description in RNAcentral is "bacterial SSU rRNA". It matches the Rfam family "Bacterial small subunit ribosomal RNA", at positions 790 to 1530 of the family's 1533-position model. The record is from RNAcentral.
GUAGUCCUGGCUGUAAACGAUGUCGACUUGGAGGUUGUGCCCUUGAGGCGUGGCUUCCGGAGCUAACGCGUUAAGUCGACCGCCUGGGGAGUACGGCCGCAAGGUUAAAACUCAAAUGAAUUGACGGGGGCCCGCACAAGCGGUGGAGCAUGUGGCUUAAUUCGAUGCAACGCGAAGAACCUUACCUGGUCUUGACAUCCACAGAACUUUCCAGAGAUGGAUUGGUGCCUUCGGGAACUGUGAGACAGGUGCUGCAUGGCUGUCGUCAGCUCGUGUUGUGAAAUGUUGGGUUAAGUCCCGCAACGAGCGCAACCCUUAUCUUUUGUUGCCAGCGGUCCGGCCGGGAACUCAAAGGAGACUGCCAGUGAUAAACUGGAGGAAGGUGGGGAUGACGUCAAGUCAUCAUGGCCCUUACGACCAGGGCUACACACGUGCUACAAUGGCGCAUACAAAGAGAAGCGACCUCGCGAGAGCAAGCGGACCUCAUAAAGUGCGUCGUAGUCCGGAUUGGAGUCUGCAACUCGACUCCAUGAAGUCGGAAUCGCUAGUAAUCGUGGAUCAGAAUGCCACGGUGAAUACGUUCCCGGGCCUUGUACACACCGCCCGUCACACCAUGGGAGUGGGUUGCAAAAGAAGUAGGUAGCUUAACCUUCGGGAGGGCGCUUACCACUUUGUGAUUCAUGACUGGGGUGAAGUCGUAACAAGGUAACCGUAGGGGAACCUGCGGCUGGAUCACCUCC